CUGGCGGCAUGGCUAAAACAUGCAAGUCGAGCGCGAAAGCUCCUUCGGGAGCAAGUAGAGCGGCGAAAGGGCGAGUAAUACGUUCCUACGUACCCCCAGGUCAGGGAUAGCCCAGGGAAACCUGGAUUAAUAUCUGAUGUGGUCUCCGGAUCAAAGGCCUCGGCCGCCCGGGGAGCGGGGAACGUCCUAUCAGGUUGUUGGUAAGGUAACGGCUCACCAAGCCGUUGACGGGUAGCGGGUGUGAGAGCAUGACCCGCCGCAUCGGGACUGAGACACUGCCCGGACUCCUACGGGAGGCUGCAGUAACGAAUCUUCCGCAAUGCGCGAAAGCGUGACGGAGCAAUGCCGCGUGUAGGAUGAAGCCCCUCGGGGUGUAAACUACUGUCAGAGUUCAGCAACACAAUGAGCAGACUCAAAGGAAGGGCCGGCUAACUUCGUGCCAGCAGCCGCGGUAAUACGAAGGGCCCGAGCGUUGCGCGGAAUCAUUGGGCUUAAAGCGUACGUAGGCGGGCGCGCAGGCGUCUUGUGAAAUCCCUCGGCUCAACCGAGGAAUCGCUCGACGAACCGCGCGUCUUGAGGCAGGUAGGGGUUGUCGGAACGCUCGGUGGAGUGGUGAAAUGCGUUGAUAUCGAGCGGAACGCCGAAGGUGAAAACAGGCAACUGGGGCCUGUCCUGACGCUGGAGGUACGAAAGCGUG
This 697-nucleotide ribosomal RNA is filed under the name uncultured bacterium. Its description in RNAcentral is "bacterial SSU rRNA". It matches the Rfam family "Bacterial small subunit ribosomal RNA", at positions 36 to 763 of the family's 1533-position model. The record is from RNAcentral.